Long non-coding RNA from Gadus morhua (Atlantic cod), 775 nucleotides. RefSeq lists it as uncharacterized. The record is from RefSeq and is a predicted model, not a curated record. Lineage: Eukaryota; Metazoa; Chordata; Actinopteri; Gadiformes; Gadidae. The transcript has 2 exons.
CUGCAGGUCGGGAGCUGAGUGGUCGGACCGUCUCGAUGUGUUGCUAGGCAAACUAACUCUUCUGAAGCACAUGUGUUCCCGAACUGCGGCAAACGGCGAGCCGCGCCCCCCCGACGCCUCACCAAGGGGGGGGGCCCGGUCCCGACAAGCAAGGCGGCGGUAUACAGUACGUGACGUCACUCAACAUUGGCAACACACGGAGGUGUGGACAGUGAUGCGAUGUGUUUAAGAUCCCAAUUAUUCAAAGUUACCCAUGCAAUUAAUCGAAAAACCAAACCAAAAGUAGGGCGUGUUAUCUAUUCAAGACAAUGAACACUGUAGUUUAAGAAAUACCAGCUUUAUGUCGAACGAAGUGUGAAUAUAACGCCCACCUCGCGAGGCAGCGUGUGCCCGCGAAGAUGCUGCUGCGCGCCCAUUUACGACCUGCCUCCACGAGCCUCCGAGAAGAGCCCUAAUGAAACGGCAUUACAAUCACAAAUGAACCACGAGCCUCCUUUACAUUCAGAUAUAACAUUACACAACGACUCAUCUGAUGUGGAGACCCUCUGAUGGAUGCCCAUCAGCCCGUCGCACCGACGAAACACGGAAAGUCUUCAAAAUGUUGCACCUUGUGGAUGUUGUGGUUCAUAACUGGUUCACUUAUCUCUAAAUGGGCGAUGGUUCCCAGCACCCUCGAAUCUGCUUUUGAAUAACAACCUAAAUGUAAACAGUAUACUCCAAAAUCCCGCCAUGGUUUAAACAUUUAAUUGCAAAAUAAACCUUCUAACAUUACUCA